UACGGGGGGGGCAAGCGUUGUUCGGAAUUACUGGGCGUAAAGGGCUCGUAGGUGGCCAACUAAGUCGGACGUGAAAUCCCUCAGCUUAACUGGGGAACUGCGUCCGAUACUGGAUGGCUUGAGUUUGGGAGAGGGAUGCGGAAUUCCAGGUGUAGCGGUGAAAUGCGUAGAUAUCUGGAGGAACACCGGUGGCGAAGGCGAGUCUCUGGGAUGAUGCUGACGCUGAGGCGCGAAAGCCAGGGGAGCAAACGGG
This 253-nucleotide ribosomal RNA is filed under the name uncultured bacterium. RNAcentral describes it as "partial 16S ribosomal RNA". It matches the Rfam family "Bacterial small subunit ribosomal RNA", at positions 524 to 776 of the family's 1533-position model. The record is from RNAcentral.